UGUUAUGGAUAGAUUUCUAGUAUUUAUGGCUUGAUAGUAAUGUUAGUAGCAGGAAUAACACAUGUUAGGUAGAAGUCUAAAGGAGAUUAUAGUAUAGUUGUGAGGAAAGUCUUUUCUUUCUAUCUUCAUUUGAUUCUAGAAGAAAUGACCUUAUUAAGCUACCUGCAUUUCUAAUUAAGUGCAGGGCAAUGAUGGGUAUUUGUAUUUAUUGUAUUGAUAAGUCAGCAGACACUUUGUAUUUGGAAAAAGGUGCAAGUCGUUUUGUACAAGCAGUGGGUAAUAUUUCACAAUCAGAAAUAAAUAGUUGGGAGCAUAAACCUUUGCGCGAUAGUCUUCGGGCUCGCCUUCGGUUAUUUAUUAUAAGUUGGGUGUGCUGUAAAUGAAUGUUAUUAACCUUUGGUUAACAAUUUAGCGUAGCAUACUUCGUCACCCUUUGGUUGGCCGUUCGGUUGUUAGCUAUUGAUUGUCUUAUUUUGAUGAAGAAAUGUUAUGUAAGUGUUUUAGUAAGUGCUGUAAACCUUUCUUCGAUGAAUACCGGUUAAUCUUGUGCCAGCAGCAGCGGUAAUGCAAGUGGUGUAAACGUUCUAUAGGUUGAUUAGGUGUAAAGAGUGAUUUGGACAUGAGGUUUAUAUGUGUAGUGAAAAUUUAUUAUCAGUGUCACGGACUCGUCAUUAGAGUAAUUCUAGAUUUGAUGUGGUGUAGGAAUGUUAAUUGUAAUGGUGAAAUCUGUAUAUAAUUGGUAGAAAAUUGAUUUGAUAUUGGUAGCUUAUCUUUGGUAGAUAUUCUAUUCACGAAAGCUUGAGGUGUGACAGGGAUUAGAUACCCCAUUAAUUCAAGUGAUAAAUUAUGGCUUAUUGUAGAUUGGAUCUAUUUUUAACAUGUGAAGGUUCUUAACCUAAGGAGUACGUUUUCAUAAAUGAAACUUAAAUGUUCUGGUGGUGGUUUAGAACAAUAGUGGAAUAGAUGAUUUAAUUCGAUGUUAUGCGAUAAAGCUUAUCACUUAUCAUUUUUAAUACCUAGGUAUAGGUAGAAUUUUAUUCAAGGUAGUGCAUGGCUGUUGGAGGGUAAUGUUUUGUAAUAUCUGGUUCAGUUCAGGAAUAGCCGAUACAUAGAGAGAAAUAAUUAAGUACAUUUUACAGGCUUUUGUCUAACAAGAGUGCUGGUAUUUAAAUGGUGUCUAUUAAAAUAUUAGAUAGAAUAACGUCGAGUCAUUAUGCUCUUUUGUUUGGAGAUAUUCAUCUGUUACAAAGAGAGCUAUAUAGCUACUUUUGAAUGAGUAAAUCAAAUGUUAUCAUCCUAAUUGAAAAUUGAAAUGUUUUUAUAAAGGAGGAAUUAUUAGGAAUCUUUGGUUAGUUACUUAAAGGUGGACAGGAGAUAAACUUUGCACAUACUGCCCGUCAAACAAAAAGCGGAGAUGUAGAUGAGAACAGAAAAAACCACACAAUUGUGAAAUUGGGAUACUAAUUUGUGUUAAGUCGAAACAUGGUUGCUCAUCAGGAAUGAUGAGCUGGAA
Molecule: ribosomal RNA, 1513 nt
Filed under: Kryptoperidinium triquetrum
Lineage: Eukaryota; Dinophyceae; Peridiniales; Kryptoperidiniaceae
Description: Heterocapsa triquetra partial 16S ribosomal RNA
Rfam family: Bacterial small subunit ribosomal RNA (bases 456-1513)
Source: RNAcentral